Molecule: transfer RNA, 65 nt
Filed under: Gabronthus thermarum
Lineage: Eukaryota; Metazoa; Arthropoda; Insecta; Coleoptera; Staphylinidae
Description: tRNA-Arg
Source: RNAcentral
AAAUAAGAAACAAAAUAUUGUAUUUAGUUUCGACCUAAAAUUUAGGUGGCGCCCACCCUUAUUUA